CUCGCUGACGAGCGGCGGACGGGUGAGUAACGCGUAGGAAUCUGCCCGGUAAUGGGGGAUAGCCCGGAGAAAUCCGGAUUAAUACCGCAUACGCCCUAUGGGGGAAAGGUGGCCUCUUCUUGAAAGCUACCGUUAUCGGAUGAGCCUGCGUCGGAUUAGCUAGUUGGUGGGGUAAUGGCCCACCAAGGCGACGAUCCGUAGCUGGUCUGAGAGGAUGAUCAGCCACACUGGGACUGAGACACGGCCCAGACUCCUACGGGAGGCAGCAGUGGGGAAUAUUGGACAAUGGGCGCAAGCCUGAUCCAGCCAUGCCGCGUGUGUGAAGAAGGCCUUCGGGUUGUAAAGCACUUUCAGCAGGGAGGAAAGGUUAUUGGUUAAUACCCAAUAGCUGUGACGUUACCUGCAGAAGAAGCACCGGCUAACUCCGUGCCAGCAGCCGCGGUAAUACGGAGGGUGCGAGCGUUAAUCGGAAUUACUGGGCGUAAAGCGUGCGUAGGCGGUGAUCUAAGUGGGAUGUGAAAGCCCCGGGCUCAACCUGGGAACUGCACCCCAAACUGGGUCGCUAGAGUACAGCAGAGGAGUGUGGAAUUUCCUGUGUAGCGGUGAAAUGCGUAGAUAUAGGAAGGAACACCAGUGGCGAAGGCGACACUCUGGGCUGAUACUGACGCUGAGGUACGAAAGCGUGGGGGAGCAAACAGGAUUAGAUACCCUGGUAGUCCACGCCGUAAACGAUGUCUACUAGCCGUCGGGGUCCUUGAGGCUUUGGUGGCGCAGCUAACGCGAUAAGUAGACCGCCUGGGGAGUACGGGCCGCAAGGUUAAAACUCAAAUGAAUUGACGGGGCCCGCACAAGCGGGGAGCAUGUGGUUUAAUUCGAAGCAACGCGAAGAACCUUACCUGGUCUUGACAUCCUGCGAACUUACUAGAGAUA
RNAcentral lists this ribosomal RNA (930 nucleotides) under gamma proteobacterium TSAR17. Its description in RNAcentral is "bacterial SSU rRNA". It matches the Rfam family "Bacterial small subunit ribosomal RNA", at positions 84 to 1008 of the family's 1533-position model. Lineage: Bacteria; Pseudomonadati; Pseudomonadota; Gammaproteobacteria. The record is from RNAcentral.